MicroRNA precursor from Oryza sativa Japonica Group (Japanese rice), 208 nucleotides. It matches the Rfam family "MIR812 microRNA precursor family". NCBI's taxonomy places the organism in Eukaryota, Viridiplantae, Streptophyta, Magnoliopsida, Poales, Poaceae. The record is from Rfam.
AAUAAGUGCAGCCGUGGAUAUCCGUGCCCAACGUUUGACCGUCCGUCUUAUUUGAAAAAUUUGUGAAAAAUUUGAAAAUAUUUAGUCACACAUAAAGUACUAUUCAUGUUUUAUCAUCUAAUAGCAAUAAAAAUAUUAAUCAUAAAAAAUUUUCAAAUAAGACGAACGGUCAAACGUUGAACGUAAAUAGUGUAAAACUGUACUUAUU